CAGCACCUCAAGUGGGUCAGGAUGAUUAUUGGGCCUAAAGCAUCCGUAGCCGGCUUGUUAGUUUUCGGUUAAAUCUGUACGCUUAACGUACAGGCUGCCGGGAAUACUGCAGAGCUAGGGAGUGGGAGAGGUAGACGGUAUCGGUAGGAAGGGGUAAAAUCCUUUGAUCUAUUGAUGACCACCUGUGGCGAAGGCGGUCUACCAGAACACGUCCGACGGUGAGGGAUGAAAGCUGGGGGAGCAAACCGGAUUAGAUACCCGGGUAGUCCCAGCUGUAAACUAUGCAAGCUCAGUGAUGCAUUGGCUUGUGGCCAAUGCAGUGCUGCAGGGAAGCCGUUAAGUUUGCCGCCUGGGAAGUACGUACGCAAGUAUG
RNAcentral lists this ribosomal RNA (373 nucleotides) under uncultured organism. RNAcentral describes it as "partial 16S ribosomal RNA". It matches the Rfam family "Archaeal small subunit ribosomal RNA", at positions 477 to 851 of the family's 1478-position model. The record is from RNAcentral.